Molecule: ribosomal RNA, 408 nt
Filed under: uncultured bacterium
Lineage: Bacteria
Description: bacterial SSU rRNA
Rfam family: Bacterial small subunit ribosomal RNA
Source: RNAcentral
UUUGGAAUUUUGGACAAUGGACGAAAGUCUGAUCCAGCGACGCCGCGUGGACGAUGAAGGCCUUCGGGUUGUAAAGUCCUUUUGCUCGGGAACAAUUUUUGAGCGUACCGAGAGAAUAAGAGGUUGCUAACUCUGUGCCAGCAGCAGCGGUAAUACAGAGACCUCAAGCGUUAUCCGGAAUCAUUGGGCGUAAAGCGUACAGAUAGGUGGGUGUAUAAGUCAGAAGUGAAAUCUCCGAGCUUAACUCGGAAUCUGUCUUUUGAAACUAUACAACUAGAGGGGCAAAGAGGAAGCUGGAACGAACGGUGUAGUAGUGAAAUGCGUUGAUAUCGUUCGGAACACCGAUAGCGUAGGCAGGCUUCUGGGUGCCACCUGACACUGCUAGGACGAAAGCGUGGGGAGCGAAUG